GGCUCAAUGGUCUAGUGGUAUGAUUCUCGCUUUGGGUCUACCUCGAAUCUGCGAGAGGCCCCGGGUUCGAAUCCCGGUUGAGCCC
Non-coding RNA from Xylaria sp. FL1777, 85 nucleotides. Lineage: Eukaryota; Fungi; Ascomycota; Sordariomycetes; Xylariales; Xylariaceae. The record is from the annotation of a GenBank genome assembly.